CACCAACUGCCACAGCAGCUCGGGAAGCGUGACGCCGAUGUCCCGCCCGUACGCCCCGGUGUCUUCGGACGUCAGCCACACUUCACACACGCCCUCGCUGAAUGACUGUCUGGCUCGCUCCACAAUCUCCUCUGCAGAAUAAACAUAUGGUGUGUUACAGAGACUCACCCACCUUUGAGUGUCUCUUCCACCACCUCCACCACUCGGUCGAUCUGCUGUACCCCAAUGAUGCUCAGGCCGUCCAGGAACUCAGAGCGUGGUGCCCCUGUGAGGACAUAAAGGUUCUGUUAUCUCAGUCUGGUAAUUGCUGUACUAUUUGUUUCAGUAAAUAAAUUAUAACUACUACU
This is a long non-coding RNA of Eriocheir sinensis (Chinese mitten crab), 347 nucleotides long. RefSeq lists it as uncharacterized. Lineage: Eukaryota; Metazoa; Arthropoda; Malacostraca; Decapoda; Varunidae. The transcript has 2 exons. The record is from RefSeq and is a predicted model, not a curated record.